Molecule: long non-coding RNA, 262 nt
Filed under: Homo sapiens (human)
Lineage: Eukaryota; Metazoa; Chordata; Mammalia; Primates; Hominidae
Description: HSALNT0365082
Source: RNAcentral
AAGUCGUCCAGGUAGGGCUGCACCUUGGCCUUCACCUCCUCCAGAUCCUUGCUCAUCUCCUGCCUCAGGCCCUCUGUCUCCUUUUCCAGGGCCGAGCUGUUCGCGCAGCUUGCUGAAGUCUCUGCCGCUGUCUUUGAGCACAUCCACGUACACAGUGGCCAGGUCCUUCACUCGAUCCCAGGGGCUCUGGGGGGGUUCAUCUUGCUGCCAGAAAUGCCGAGCCUGGCUCCCUGAGGGUGGGAGGGGAGACCCAGAUCAGGCC